RNAcentral lists this transfer RNA (90 nucleotides) under Candidatus Thorarchaeota archaeon. RNAcentral's name for it is "tRNA-Val". It matches the Rfam family "tRNA". From Rfam's summary of the family: Transfer RNA (tRNA) molecules are approximately 80 nucleotides in length. Their secondary structure includes four short double-helical elements and three loops (D, anti-codon, and T loops). Lineage: Archaea; Promethearchaeati; Candidatus Thorarchaeota. The record is from RNAcentral.
GGGCCGCUAGUCUAGCCCGGCUAUGAUGUCUCGUUUACACCGAGAAUUAUACCGAGUUGGUCGCUGGUUCAAAUCCGGCGCGGCCCACCA